This is a long non-coding RNA of Etheostoma spectabile (orangethroat darter), 176 nucleotides long. RefSeq lists it as uncharacterized. The transcript has 3 exons. NCBI's taxonomy places the organism in Eukaryota, Metazoa, Chordata, Actinopteri, Perciformes, Percidae. The record is from RefSeq and is a predicted model, not a curated record.
AGACAACACUUUAUAUCAGGGAUGCACCGAAUCCAGGAUCCAGCUUCGGACUCGGCUGAACAUUGGGCUUUUUGACGGGGUUAGGUUUCUGCCAAACUCCCCCGAAAUCGACGCUUGCGCUACGCUGGUUGACGUGACGCCGCCGCCGUUGAUGACGGGAGAGUGUUUACGUAGGU